UACAGAGGGCUCAAGCGUUGUUCGGAUUCAUUGGGCGUAAAGGGUGCGUAGGCGGCUCGGUAAGUCGGGUGUGAAAUCUCGGGGCUUAACUCCGAAACUGCAUUCGAUACUGCCGUGCUUGAGGACUGGAGAGGAGACUGGAAUUUACGGUGUAGCGGUGAAAUGCGUAGAUAUCGUAAGGAAGACCAGUGGCGAAGGCGGGUCUCUGGACAGUUCCUGACGCUGAGGCACGAAGGCCAGGGGAGUAAACGGG
Molecule: ribosomal RNA, 253 nt
Filed under: uncultured bacterium
Lineage: Bacteria
Description: partial 16S ribosomal RNA
Rfam family: Bacterial small subunit ribosomal RNA
Source: RNAcentral